AAAUAUGUUUGACUAAAAAUAUUCAUUAACUUGUGCUAUUCAGCUACAUAUGAUUUAAAUAGACAAAAACAUUACCCUAAUUUCCUAUUUACAUAAAGAAAAUAACUAAAUAGGAAUUAACUAAAGUAUAUGCUAAAUAUAAGUUUUUCUAAAUAAACAAAAUAAGGAACUAUGCUUAAUUAGAAAAUAAUAAAAAACCUAUUCUAAAAGGAAAUAAUAUAAGACUUCAAAAAUAACAAAAUAAGAAGCCUAAUUGAUUUAGUCAAUCAUAAUCAAUAAAGACAUGACUAAAUAAAUCAAGCAUUUUUCCUAAAUAACAAGAUAUACGGCUGCCCUAUUGUUUCCUCUUUGAAGUUGGCGCGCUCUUUGGUCAAGCAACAAACAUAGGCGCCUUCUUUUGGUUUCCUCUUCAAGGAAAUUCACCCCUCCCCCUUUUCCUUAUGAAUAUUUUGGCCCGAACUAGCUUUUCUGAAGGCCUAACAUGUUGGAUUAGGUUAUUGAAUAAGCCCAUUUAAGGCCUCCUUCAUCCACUUAGCCCUAGCUCUUAUAAUUGGACCUCCUUUGAUGAAUAAUGGAUCCUUUGAACUUGUAAUUGGACUUGGAGUAGAAUUCGAGCCUUGACCUGAAGUUAGUCAUGACUUGGCUUUGACUCUUGAUUCACAUUAAAUUUUAUAGGCGUUAUCAUUAAUUCUUUCAAUUACUUGAAAAGGACCAUCUCCCAUUGGAGCAACUUGGAUCGCCGUUGGACAUGAAAACUUUCCUUUCUCAUAUGCACCCAAAACCAAAUCUUUAGGCUCAAGGACCACCUUUUUCGACCCUUGUUGGCUUGACUAACAUAUUGUUCGAUUCUUUUCUCAAUGUCGAAUUGCACCUUAGCAUGUAA
Molecule: long non-coding RNA, 883 nt
Filed under: Ricinus communis (castor bean)
Lineage: Eukaryota; Viridiplantae; Streptophyta; Magnoliopsida; Malpighiales; Euphorbiaceae
Description: long non-coding RNA (RCOM_LNC003059)
Source: RNAcentral